Molecule: non-coding RNA, 85 nt
Filed under: Clostridiaceae bacterium
Lineage: Bacteria; Bacillati; Bacillota; Clostridia; Eubacteriales; Clostridiaceae
Description: c-di-GMP sequence
Rfam family: c-di-GMP-I riboswitch aptamer
About the family: GEMM was predicted in a large-scale screen for bacterial structured RNA regulatory elements.
Source: RNAcentral
AAUGAAAAAAGGCAAACCAUCUGAAAGGAUGGGACGCAAAGCUUUGGGUCUAAAGUAUUAUUACUAAGAUUGCCAGGCCACCAUU